Sinocyclocheilus anshuiensis is the source of this 299-nucleotide long non-coding RNA. RefSeq lists it as uncharacterized. Lineage: Eukaryota; Metazoa; Chordata; Actinopteri; Cypriniformes; Cyprinidae. The record is from RefSeq and is a predicted model, not a curated record. The transcript has 3 exons.
UGAAGAUGCACAGAGAGAGGGAGGAAAGGUAAACAGAGCGAGAAAGAAAAUAACUAUUAGAGGACAGAUCACUCUCCUCCAGGACCUCCACAGACUGUCUGUGAAACUGCAGCUGUGAUUCGACCAAAGCUCUCCUUGUCGACUAUAGUUUGGAAAGGGUCGAUGAAGUUCUGUUUGACGUCAAUGUCUAGAGAGUCUUUUACUUCUGCCAGUCUCUUCAUGGCCUCUCCCAUCUCCACUAAAGCGCCACCUAUGGAUCCGACGAGGAACAUGCACAAAAAUGUUAUGUUAAAAACAAA